ACGGCUCAGUAACACGUGGAUAACCUACCCUCAGAUCUGGGAUAACUCCGGGAAACUGGAGAUAAUACCGGAUAAUCCGUGAACGCUGGAAUGCCUUACGGUUGAAAGCUUUAGCGUCUGAGGAUGGGUCUGCGGCCGAUUAGGUAGUUGCUGGGGUAACGUCCCAACAAGCCGAUAAUCGGUACGGGUUGUGAGAGCAAGAGCCCGGAGAUGGAUUCUGAGACACGAAUCCAGGUCCUACGGGGCGCAGCAGGCGCGAAAACUUUACACUGCGCGAAAGCGCGAUAAGGGGACCUCGAGUGCGUGCGCAAUGCGUACGCUUUUCAGAUGCCUAAAAAGCAUCUGGAAUAAGGGCCGGGCAAGACCGGUGCCAGCCGCCGCGGUAACACCGGCGGCUCAAGUGGUGGCCGCUAUUAUUGGGCUUAAAGGGUCCGUAGCCGGACCGGUUAGUCCCUUGGGAAAUCUUACGGCUUAACCGUAAGGCUGCCGAUGGAUACUGCUGGUCUUGGGACCGGGAGAGGCAAGAGGUACCUCAGGGGUAGGAGUGAAAUCCUGUAAUCCUUGAGGGACCGCCAGUGGCGAAGGCGUCUUGCUAGAACGGGUCCGACGGUGAGGGACGAAAGCUAGGGGUACGAACCGGAUUAGAUACCCGGGUAGUCCUAGCCGUAAACGAUGCGAGCUAGGUGUCACGUGGAUUGCGAAUCCAUGUGGUGCCGAAGGGAAACCGUGAAGCUCGCCGCCUGGGAAGUACGGCCGCAAGGCUGAAACUUAAAGGAAUUGGCGGGGGAGCAC
Molecule: ribosomal RNA, 792 nt
Filed under: uncultured archaeon
Lineage: Archaea
Description: bacterial SSU rRNA
Rfam family: Archaeal small subunit ribosomal RNA
Source: RNAcentral